RNAcentral lists this ribosomal RNA (253 nucleotides) under uncultured bacterium. RNAcentral's name for it is "partial 16S ribosomal RNA". It matches the Rfam family "Bacterial small subunit ribosomal RNA", at positions 524 to 776 of the family's 1533-position model. The record is from RNAcentral.
UACGGAGGGUGCAAGCGUUAUCCGGAUUUACUGGGUUUAAAGGGUGCGUAGGCGGGUUGAUAAGUCAGUGGUGAAAUACUAUAGCUUAACUAUGGAACUGCCGUUGAUACUAUCAAUCUUGAAUACAGUGGAGGCGGGCGGAAUGUGUCAUGUAGCGGUGAAAUGCUUAGAUAUGACACAGAACACCUAUUGCGAAGGCAGCUCGCUACACUGUUAUUGACGCUGAUGCACGAAAGCGUGGGGAUCAAACAGG